Molecule: ribosomal RNA, 492 nt
Filed under: uncultured bacterium
Lineage: Bacteria
Description: partial 16S ribosomal RNA
Rfam family: Bacterial small subunit ribosomal RNA
Source: RNAcentral
AGUGAACGCUGGCGGUAGGCCUAACACAUGCAAGUCGAACGGCAGCACAGUAAGAGCUUGCUCUUACGGGUGGCGAGUGGCGGACGGGUGAGGAAUACAUCGGAAUCUACUUUUUCGUGGGGGAUAACGUAGGGAAACUUACGCUAAUACCGCAUACGACCUACGGGUGAAAGCAGGGGAUCUUCUGACCUUGCGCGAUUGAAUGAGCCCAUGUCGGAUUAGCUAGUUGGCGGGGUAAAGGCCCACCAAGGCGACGAUCCGUAGCUGGUCUGAGAGGAUGAUCCGCCACCUUGGAACUGAGACACGGCCCAGACUCCUACGGGAGGCAGCAGUGGGGAAUAUUGGACAAUGGGCGCAAGCCUGAUCCAGCCAUACCGCGUGGGUGAAGAAGGCCUUCGGGUUGUAAAGCCCUUUUGUUGGGAAAGAAAAGCAGCAGGUUAAUACCCCGCUGUUCUGACGGUACCCAAAGAAUAAGCACCGGCUAACUUCGUG